Molecule: ribosomal RNA, 578 nt
Filed under: Brevundimonas vesicularis
Lineage: Bacteria; Pseudomonadati; Pseudomonadota; Alphaproteobacteria; Caulobacterales; Caulobacteraceae
Description: bacterial SSU rRNA
Rfam family: Bacterial small subunit ribosomal RNA
Source: RNAcentral
GCGAACGCUGGCGGCAGGCCUAACACAUGCAAGUCGAACGAACUCUUCGGAGUUAGUGGCGGACGGGUGAGUAACACGUGGGAACGUGCCUUUAGGUUCGGAAUAACUCAGGGAAACUUGUGCUAAUACCGAAUGUGCCCUUCGGGGGAAAGAUUUAUCGCCUUUAGAGCGGCCCGCGUCUGAUUAGCUAGUUGGUGAGGUAAAGGCUCACCAAGGCGACGAUCAGUAGCUGGUCUGAGAGGAUGAUCAGCCACAUUGGGACUGAGACACGGCCCAAACUCCUACGGGAGGCAGCAGUGGGGAAUCUUGCGCAAUGGGCGAAAGCCUGACGCAGCCAUGCCGCGUGAAUGAUGAAGGUCUUAGGAUUGUAAAAUUCUUUCACCGGGGACGAUAAUGACGGUACCCGGAGAAGAAGCCCCGGCUAACUUCGUGCCAGCAGCCGCGGUAAUACGAAGGGGGCUAGCGUUGCUCGGAAUUACUGGGCGUAAAGGGAGCGUAGGCGGACAUUUAAGUCAGGGGUGAAAUCCCGGGGCUCAACCUCGGAAUUGCCUUUGAUACUGGGUGUCUUGAGUAUGAGA